UAGAGUUUGAUCCUGGCUCAGAAUGAACGCUGGCGGCAUGGAUUAGGCAUGCAAGUCGUACGAGAAUCCUCUCUUCGGAGAGGAGGACAGUGGCGAAAGGGUGAGUAACACGUGAGUAUCUACCUCCAGGUCGGGAACAGCCCGCGGAAACGCGGAUUAAUGCCCGAUGGUCCCUUCGGGGUAAAGAGGAAUCGCCCGGAGACGAGCUCGCGGCCCAUCAGCUUGUUGGCGGGGUAACGGCCCACCAAGGCGACGACGGGUAGGUGGUCUGAGAGGAUGGUCACCCACACUGGGACUGAGAUACUGCCCAGACUCCUACGGGAGGCUGCAGUCGAGAAUCAUCCGCAAUGGGCGAAAGCCUGACGGUGCAAUGCCGCGUGGGGGGAUGAAGGCCUUCGGGUCGUAAACCCCUGUCAGAGGGGACGAAAAACAUGACGGUACCCUCAGAGGAAGCCACGGCUAACUACGUGCCAGCAGCCGCGGUAAUACGUAGUGGCGAGCGUAUUCGGAUUUACUGGGCGUAAAGGGUCCG
RNAcentral lists this ribosomal RNA (532 nucleotides) under uncultured organism. RNAcentral describes it as "bacterial SSU rRNA". It matches the Rfam family "Bacterial small subunit ribosomal RNA", at positions 1 to 571 of the family's 1533-position model. The record is from RNAcentral.